Molecule: ribosomal RNA, 1320 nt
Filed under: metagenome
Description: bacterial LSU rRNA
Rfam family: Bacterial large subunit ribosomal RNA
Source: RNAcentral
CAUGGGGAGCAACCUAGUUGUGCGUGUGUAAAGGUAGUGCCAAGAAAAGCGAUGAUCAUGUUGAAAAUCAAUUCCCGGUACCCGAAACCGACACAGGUGGGCAAGUAGAGAAUACUAAGGGGCGCGAGGUAACUCUCUCCAAGGAACUCGGCAAAAUGACCCCGUAACUUAGGGAGAAGGGGUGCCACCGAGAGGUGGUCGCAGUGAAGAGGCCCAGGCGACUGUUUAGCAAAAACAUAGGUCUCUGCAAACUCGAAAGAGGAGGUAUAGGGGCUGACGCCUGCCCAGUGCCGGAAGGUUAAAGAAGUUGGUCAGUUUUAGGAUGAAGCUAGCGACUGAAGCCCCGGUGAACGGCGGCCGUAACUAUAACGGUCCUAAGGUAGCGAAAUUCCUUGUCGGGUAAGUUCCGACCCGCACGAAAGGCGUAACGAUCUGGGCGCUGUCUCGGAGAGAGGCUCGGCGAAAUAGGAUUGUCUGUGAAGAUACGGACUACCUGCAUUUGGACAGAAAGACCCUAUGAAGCUUUACUAUAGCUUGGAAUUGUGUUCGGGCUUCCUGUGCGCAGGAUAGGUGGGAGGCGUAGAAGGUAUUCUUGUGGGGAUACUGGAGCCAACGGUGAGAUACCACUCUCAGGAGGCUAGAAUUCUAACUUAAUUAAGGACAGUUUCAGGUGGGUAGUUUGACUGGGGCGGUCGCCUCCAAAAAGGUAACGGAGGCGUACAAAGGUUCCCUCAGACUGGUUGGAAAUCAGUCGAAGAGUGCAAAGGCAGAAGGGAGCUUGACUGCGAGAAGUACAGUUCGAGCAGGGUGGAAACACGGUCUUAGUGAUCCGAGGUGCUGUGUGGAAGGGCCGUCGCUCAACGGAUAAAAGUUACUCUAGGAUAACAGGCUGAUCUCCCCCAAGAGUUCACAUCGACGGGGAGGUUUGGCACCUCGAUGUCGGCUCAUCGCAACCUGGGGCGGAAGUACGUCCCAAGGGUUGGGCUGUUCGCCCAUUAAAGCGGUACGUGAGCUGGGUUCAGAACGUCGUGAGACAGUUCGGUCCAUAUCCGAUGUAGGCGUGAGAAUAUUGAGAGGAGCCUUCCUUAGUACGAGAGGACCGGGAAGGACGCACCGCUGGUGUACCUGUUAUGAUGCCAAUUGUAAACGCAGGGUAGCCAAGUGCGGAGAGGAUAACCGCUGAAAGCAUCUAAGUGGGAAGCCCACCUCAAGAUGAGUAUUCUGGUGUAAGGUCACGGGAAGACGACCCGUAAAUAGGCACGAGGUGGAAGUGCAGAGAUGUAUGAAGCCGAAGUGUACUAAUAGACCGUCGGCUUGACC